Molecule: long non-coding RNA, 250 nt
Filed under: Carica papaya (papaya)
Lineage: Eukaryota; Viridiplantae; Streptophyta; Magnoliopsida; Brassicales; Caricaceae
Description: long non-coding RNA (CPAP_LNC011620)
Source: RNAcentral
AAAGUUUUGCCAUGUGGGACAGUUCGGUCAGCAGCCACGACGAGUCGAAACGUGCUGCAUGGCGUACACGCUGACAUCGUCUUCACGCAGGAGGCCACGUAGGCAAUCCGCUUGCCUAGGCAAUUUGAUGGCCCAGAUCGUAUCUCGCAUGCACGAAGGGCCCAGAUACAUUCCCUCUUCAGACAUGAUAAGAUGGAUGAGAUUGAUCGUAAUGGACAAUUCAUAUUUGCUUAUGCAAUCGAGCUAAACA